RNAcentral lists this ribosomal RNA (117 nucleotides) under Gopherus agassizii (Agassiz's desert tortoise). The record is from RNAcentral. Lineage: Eukaryota; Metazoa; Chordata; Testudines; Testudinidae.
GCCUGCAGCCAUAACAUCUGGGGUUAUGAUCUUAUUCAGUCUUAUAAAACAAGCAGGGUCAGGCUUGGUCAAUACUCAAAUAGGACACCUACAUGGUAAACCCAGAUGCUACAAAUC